RNAcentral lists this ribosomal RNA (426 nucleotides) under uncultured bacterium. Its description in RNAcentral is "bacterial SSU rRNA". It matches the Rfam family "Bacterial small subunit ribosomal RNA", at positions 354 to 796 of the family's 1533-position model. The record is from RNAcentral.
GUGAGGAAUUUUCCGCAAUGGGCGAAAGCCUGACGGAGCAAUGCCGCGUGAAGGAUGAAGGCCUAUGGGUUGUAAACUUCUUUUCUCAGAAAAGAAUUAUGACGGUAUCUGAGGAAUAAGCAUCGGCUAACUCUGUGCCAGCAGCCGCGGUAAGACAGAGGAUGCAAGCGUUAUCCGGAAUGAGUGGGCGUAAAGCGUCUGUAGGUUGUUUAAAAAGUAUUCUGUAAAAGAUUAGGGCUUAACCCUAGAUAGGCAGAAUAAACUUUUAAGCUAGAGUUUGGUAGAGGCAGAGGUAAUUACCGGUGGAGCGGUGAAAUGCGUAGAUAUCGGGAGGAACACCAAAGGCGAAGGCACUCUGCUGGGCCAAUACUAACACUGAGAGACGAAAGCGAGGGGAGCAAAUGGGAUUAGAAACCCCAGUAGUCC